AAUUUUGGAUAAUGGGGGAAACCCUGAUCCAGCCAUCCCGCGUGUAUGAUGAAGGCCUUCGGGUUGUACAGUACUUUUGGCAGAGAAGAAAAGUCUUCCCCUAAUACGGGAUGCUGCUGACGGCAUCCGCAGCACAAGCACCGGCUAACGACGUGCCAGCAGCCGCGGUAAUACGAAGGGUGCAAGCGUUAAUGUGAAUUACCUGUCGUAAAGUGUGUGUAGGCGGUUCGGAAAGAAAGAUAUGAAAUCCCAGGGCUCAACCUUGGAACUGCAUUUUUAACUGCAGAGCUAGAGUAUGUCAGAGGGGGGUAGAAUUCCACGUGUAGCAGUGAAAUGCGUAGAUAUGUGGAGGAAUACCGAUGGCGAAGGCAGCCCCCUGGGAUAAUACUGACGCUCAGACACGAAAGCGUGGGGAGCAAACAGG
This 424-nucleotide ribosomal RNA is filed under the name uncultured bacterium. RNAcentral's name for it is "partial 16S ribosomal RNA". It matches the Rfam family "Bacterial small subunit ribosomal RNA", at positions 360 to 776 of the family's 1533-position model. The record is from RNAcentral.